This 766-nucleotide ribosomal RNA is filed under the name uncultured Streptococcus sp. RNAcentral's name for it is "bacterial SSU rRNA". It matches the Rfam family "Bacterial small subunit ribosomal RNA", at positions 28 to 776 of the family's 1533-position model. The record is from RNAcentral. Lineage: Bacteria; Bacillati; Bacillota; Bacilli; Lactobacillales; Streptococcaceae.
GACGAACGCUGGCGGCGUGCCUAAUACAUGCAAGUAGAACGCUGAAGAGAGGAGCUUGCUCUUCUUGGAAGAGUUGCGAACGGGUGAGUAACGCGUAGGUAACCUGCCUUGUAGCGGGGGAUAACUAUUGGAAACGAUAGCUAAUACCGCAUAACAAUGGGUGACCCAUGUCAUUCAUUUGAAAGGGGCAACUGCUCCACUACAAGAUGGACCUGCGUUGUAUUAGCUAGUAGGUGAGGUAACGGCUCACCUAGGCGGCGAUACAUAGCCGACCUGAGAGGGUGAUCGGCCACACUGGGACUGAGACACGGCCCAGACUCCUACGGGAGGCAGCAGUAGGGAAUCUUCGGCAAUGGGGGCAACCCUGACCGAGCAACGCCGCGUGAGUGAAGAAGGUUUUCGGAUCGUAAAGCUCUGUUGUAAGUCAAGAACGAGUGUGAGAGUGGAAAGUUCACACUGUGACGGUAGCUUACCAGAAAGGGACGGCUAACUACGUGCCAGCAGCCGCGGUAAUACGUAGGUCCCGAGCGUUGUCCGGAUUUAUUGGGCGUAAAGCGAGCGCAGGCGGUUUGAUAAGUCUGAAGUUAAAGGCUGUGGCUCAACCAUAGUUUGCUUUGGAAACUGUCAAACUUGAGUGCAGAAGGGGAGAGUGGAAUUCCAUGUGUAGCGGUGAAAUGCGUAGAUAUAUGGAGGAACACCGGUGGCGAAAGCGGCUCUCUGGUCUGUAACUGACGCUGAGGCUCGAAAGCGUGGGGGAGCGAACAGG